GUGGGGAAUUUUGCGCAAUGGGCGAAAGCCUGACGCAGCGACGCCGCGUGGGUGAUGAAGGCCUUCGGGUCGUAAAGCCCUGUGGGGAGGGAAGAAUAUGGGGUGGAGAACAUCCAUUCCGAUGACGGUACCUCCUUAGCAAGCACCGGCUAACUCUGUGCCAGCAGCCGCGGUAAGACAGAGGGUGCGAACGUUGUUCGGAAUUACUGGGCGUAAAGCGCGUGUAGGUGGCUACGCAAGUCGGGUGUGAAAGCCCUGGGCUCAACCGAGGAAGUGCAUUCGAAACUGCGUGGCUCGAGUUCCGGAGAGGAUGGUGGAAUUCUCGGUGUAGAGGUGAAAUUCGUAGAUAUCGAGAGGAACACCUGUGGCGAAGGCGGCCAUCUGGACGGUAACUGACACUGAGACGCGAAAGCGUGGGUAGCAAACAGGAUUAGAUACCCUGGUAGUCC
RNAcentral lists this ribosomal RNA (449 nucleotides) under uncultured bacterium. Its description in RNAcentral is "bacterial SSU rRNA". It matches the Rfam family "Bacterial small subunit ribosomal RNA", at positions 354 to 796 of the family's 1533-position model. The record is from RNAcentral.